GAGACCAUGGCGAAAGGGCGAACGCGGCGGUUUGUGACUCCGUUAGUACCAGUUCGAGUCUGGUUGGUCUCCCCA
Molecule: transfer RNA, 75 nt
Filed under: Cohnella sp. CIP 111063
Lineage: Bacteria; Bacillati; Bacillota; Bacilli; Caryophanales; Paenibacillaceae
Description: tRNA-His
Rfam family: tRNA
About the family: Transfer RNA (tRNA) molecules are approximately 80 nucleotides in length. Their secondary structure includes four short double-helical elements and three loops (D, anti-codon, and T loops). Further hydrogen bonds mediate the characteristic L-shaped molecular structure. tRNAs have two regions of fundamental functional importance: the anti-codon, which is responsible for specific mRNA codon recognition, and the 3' end, to which the tRNAs corresponding amino acid is attached (by aminoacyl-tRNA synthetases). tRNAs cope with the degeneracy of the genetic code in two manners: having more than one tRNA (with a specific anti-codon) for a particular amino acid; and 'wobble' base-pairing, i.e. permitting non-standard base-pairing at the 3rd anti-codon position.
Source: RNAcentral